This 253-nucleotide ribosomal RNA is filed under the name uncultured bacterium. RNAcentral's name for it is "partial 16S ribosomal RNA". It matches the Rfam family "Bacterial small subunit ribosomal RNA", at positions 524 to 776 of the family's 1533-position model. The record is from RNAcentral.
UACGAAGGGGGCUAGCGUUGUUCGGAAUUACUGGGCGUAAAGCGCACGUAGGCGGAUAUUUAAGUCAGGGGUGAAAUCCCGGGGCUCAACCCCGGAACUGCCUUUGAUACUGGGUAUCUAGAGUCCGGAAGAGGUGAGUGGAAUUCCGAGUGUAGAGGUGAAAUUCGUAGAUAUUCGGAGGAACACCAGUGGCGAAGGCGGCUCACUGGUCCGGUACUGACGCUGAGGUGCGAAAGCGUGGGGAGCAAACAGG